Molecule: ribosomal RNA, 809 nt
Filed under: Dendrobium oligophyllum
Lineage: Eukaryota; Viridiplantae; Streptophyta; Magnoliopsida; Asparagales; Orchidaceae
Description: eukaryotic LSU rRNA
Rfam family: 5.8S ribosomal RNA (bases 358-513)
Source: RNAcentral
GAUCGCUGUGAUGUGGGCGGUUCGCCGCCUGCGACUCUGUGAGAAGUCCAUUGAACCUUAUCAUUUAGAGGAAGGAGAAGUCGUAACAAGGUUUCCGUAGGUGAACCUGCGGAAGGAUCAUUGUCGAGAUCGAAGCACAUCGAGCGAACUCGUGAACCCGUCAGAAUUGGCAGUGUUUAUUGCCGCCGUGAAAGAAUCUAUCAUUGUCAUUGACUGAUCCCCUCCGGGGUGCAGAUGCAAUGAGGGAUGGAUGAACACUCAAACCGACGCAACACUGCGUCAAGUGAUUAGCGAAACAUAAGGCCAUAAAUGUGCUUGGUGGCAUGGGGUGCUGUUGCACCCCAUAUGAAUUUACAUGACUCUCGACAAUGGAUAUCUCGGCUCUCGCAUCGAUGAAGAGCGCAGCGAAAUGCGAUACGUGGUGCGAAUUGCAGAAUCCCGCGAACCAUUGAGUCUUUGAACGCAAGUUGCGCCCGAGGCCAACCAGCUAAGGGCACGUCCGCCUGGGCGUCAAGUAUAAUGUCGCUCCAUGUCAACUCCAUCCCGUUAAUGGGAGGACUGGCGAAGGCAUGGAUGUGCAGAGUGGCUCAUCGUACCCCUCGGUGCGGCGGGCUGAAGAGCGGGCCAUCUUCUCGUGGCACGAGUAAUAUGGGGUGGAUUUUAGCAAGGCAUAUGUUAUUGUGUCGUGUAUGCUCAAGAGAAGAUUAUCCUGCCUAAGGUUAUCCCAAAUCAUGUGUUUGGAAUGCGACCCCAGGAUGGGCGAGGCCACCCGCCGAGUUUAAGCAUAUCAAUAAGCGGAGGAGAAGAAA